AUGAAGGUUAGCAAGCUGCCAGAACACAUUGGACACCUACACUGCUUAGAGAUGUUGGACAUAACGAACACAGCGGUGUACGAUUUACCAGCAAGUUUUGUCAAUCUCAGAAGAUUGGCACAUUUUCGUGUUGGCCAAUGUGUUAGGUUUCCUGAUGGAAUUGCGAAGAUGCAAGCAUUGGAGACUUUGAAAAUUGUGCAGACCUCCAUGCAGUCAUAUAAUUUUCUGCAAGAGCUUGGAGAGCUAAAGAAUCUGAGGAAGCUGUUCCUUUUUACUAUACAUGACGUAGAACACAAGGAGGUCGUUGCUUCUUCUCUCCGUAAACUGUGUUUGCAGAACCUUAGUUCUCUAGAUAUGUGGAAUGAUUGUGACAACAUUGUACUGAAUGCAUGGUGCAUGGAUCCGCCGCUUAGCCUCCAGAAACUUAAUAUCGUCAACUCAGUCCUCCCAAAGGUUCCAGAUUGGGUAGGAUUGCUUGUCAACCUGCAGAUCUUACGCUUGGAAGUGAUGAGAAUCAGGCAUGAAGAUCUCUGUAUCCUUGGAUCCUUACCUGCUCUGCUCACUCUGUUUCUUAGAGGACCGCAAGGUUUGUAUCCUUGUAAAGAUAGAAAGCUGGCAGUCCCUAGUGAAGCUGGGUUCCGAUGCCUGAAGAUGUUCCGUAAUGAACCAUGGCAUGAUUGGAUAGAUCUCAUGUUUGAAGCAAGAUGUAUGCCCAAGCUAGAAAAACUGGAGAUUAAUUUGCUUGUAUUCUCCAGUGCUCAACUUGAGUCCCUUAGCGGUCCUGGUGCUUUCAAUUUUGGGAUCGAAAACCUCUGCAGCCUUGUAACAUUCAAAUAUGAAUCACUUUCUAUCUGGAGCGGCUUAAGUAGCACCACUGUUGAUGCAGUAAAAGCUUCUCUGGAGAGUGCAGUCAGCGCACAUCCCAACCACGUUACUCUAAUCUUCAAUCAUGUCAAUCAGGGUGAUCCAUGA
RNAcentral lists this ribosomal RNA (972 nucleotides) under Triticum aestivum (bread wheat). RNAcentral describes it as "partial small subunit ribosomal RNA". The record is from RNAcentral. Lineage: Eukaryota; Viridiplantae; Streptophyta; Magnoliopsida; Poales; Poaceae.